UUUUAUAAGUUUUUUAUAAAUGGUGGAUAUUAACCUGUUAUCAUAUGUAUCAUUGGUAGAUAUAUUCUCCCAUUCAGUGGGUUGUCUUUUCAUUUUGUUGAUAUUUUCCUUUGCUGUGUACAAACUUUUUAGUUUGAUGCAGUCCCAUUUGUUUAUUUUUUCUUUUAUUUCCCUCGACCAA
Molecule: long non-coding RNA, 181 nt
Organism: Phyllostomus discolor (pale spear-nosed bat)
Lineage: Eukaryota; Metazoa; Chordata; Mammalia; Chiroptera; Phyllostomidae
Exons: 3
Source: RefSeq, a predicted model, not a curated record